This 1132-nucleotide ribosomal RNA is filed under the name human gut metagenome. RNAcentral's name for it is "bacterial LSU rRNA". It matches the Rfam family "Bacterial large subunit ribosomal RNA", at positions 1789 to 2925 of the family's 2925-position model. The record is from RNAcentral.
GGUGGCUGCGACUGUUUAUUAAAAACACAGCACUCUGCAAAGACGAAAGUCGACGUAUAGGGUGUGAUGCCUGCCCGGUGCUGGAAGAUUAAUUGAUGGGGUGCAAGCUCCUGAUCGAAGUCCCAGUAAACGGCGGCCGUAACUAUAACGGUCCUAAGGUAGCGAAAUUCCUUGUCGGGCAAGUUCCGACCUGCACGAAUGGCAUAACGAUGGCCACACUGUCUCCUCCUGAGACUCAGUGAAGUUGAAGUGUUUGUGAUGAUGCAAUCUCCCCGCGGCUAGACGGAAAGACCCCAUGAACCUUUACUGUAGCUUUGCAUUGGACUUUGAACCGAUCUGUGUAGGAUAGGCGGGAGCCUGUGAAACCACAACGCCAGUUGUGGCGGAGGCGUCCUUGAAAUACCGCCCUGAUUUGUUUGAGGUUCUAACCUGGGACAGUCAUCCUGUCCGGGGACCGUGCAUGGUAGGCAGUUUGACUGGGGCGGUCUCCUCCUAAAGGGUAACGGAGGAGUGCGAAGGUACGCUAGGUACGGUCGGAAAUCGUGCUGAUAGUGCAAUGGCAAAAGCGUGCUUGACUGCGAGACCCACAAGUCGAGCAGAUACGAAAGUAGGUCAUAGUGAUCCGGUGGCUCUGUAUGGAAGGGCCAUCGCUCAACGGAUAAAAGGUACUCUGGGGAUAACAGGCUGAUACCGCCCAAGAGUUCAUAUCGACGGCGGUGUUUGGCACCUCGAUGUCGGCUCAUCUCAUCCUGGGGCUGUAGCCGGUCCCAAGGGUAUGGCUGUUCGCCAUUUAAAGAGGUACGUGAGCUGGGUUUAAAACGUCGUGAGACAGUUUUGUCCCUAUCUGCCGUGGGCGCUGGAAGAUUGACGGGGGCUGCUCCUAGUACGAGAGGACCGGAGUGGACUCACCUCUGGUGUACCGGUUGUCACGCCAGUGGCAUCGCCGGGUAGCUAUGUGGGGAAGAGAUAACCGCUGAAAGCAUCUAAGCGGGAAACUUGCCUGAAGAUAAGUCUUCCUGGAGGCUAGACCUCCCUAAAGAGUCGUUCGAGACCAGGACGUUGAUAGGAUGGGUGUGUAAGUGCUGUGAGGCACUCAGCUAACCAUUACUAAUUGCUCGUGAAGCUUGAUCCU